Molecule: ribosomal RNA, 581 nt
Filed under: uncultured bacterium
Lineage: Bacteria
Description: bacterial SSU rRNA
Rfam family: Bacterial small subunit ribosomal RNA
Source: RNAcentral
ACGGGUGAGUAAUACAUCGGAACGUGCCCGAUCGUGGGGGAUAACGGAGCGAAAGCUUUGCUAAUACCGCAUACGAUCUAAGGAUGAAAGCAGGGGACCGCAAGGUCUUGCGCGGACGGAGCGGCCGAUGGCAGAUUAGGUAGUUGGUGGGAUAAAAGCUUACCAAGCCGACGAUCUGUAGCUGGUCUGAGAGGACGACCAGCCACACUGGGACUGAGACACGGCCCAGACUCCUACGGGAGGCAGCAGUGGGGAAUUUUGGACAAUGGGCGAAAGCCUGAUCCAGCCAUGCCGCGUGCAGGAUGAAGGCCUUCGGGUUGUAAACUGCUUUUGUACGGAACGAAAAGCCUCUUUCUAAUAAAGAGAGGUCAUGACGGUACCGUAAGAAUAAGCACCGGCUAACUACGUGCCAGCAGCCGCGGUAAUACGUAGGGUGCGAGCGUUAAUCGGAAUUACUGGGCGUAAAGCGUGCGCAGGCGGUGAUGUAAGACAGAUGUGAAAUCCCCGGGCUCUACCUGGGAACUGCAUUUGUGACUGCAUCGCUUUGAGUGCGGCAGAGGGGGGAUGGAAUUCCGCGUGUA